UUCUUGGUCAUUUAGGRGAAGUAAAAGUCGUAACAAGGUUUCCGUAGGUGAACCUGCGGAAGGAUCAUUAUCGUAUAACAGAGGUGCAAAGGCUGUCGCUGACUCUCAGUCGUGCACGCCCGAGUGCUCUCAAACAUUAUACAUCCAUCUCACCCCUUUUGUGCACCACCGCGUGAGCCCUCCUCCUCCACCGAAAGGAAAAGGCGGUCGAGCUUGCGUUUUUAAUACAAAUACUUUUUGACCCUGUGUAGAAUGUAUCAUACGUUUGCUAUCACACGCAACGAAAUAUAUAACUUUCAACAACGGAUCUCUUGGCUCUCGCAUCGAUGAAGAACGCAGCGAAAUGCGAUACGUAAUGUGAAUUGCAGAAUUCAGUGAAUCAUCGAAUCUUUGAACGCACCUUGCGCCCCUUGGCAUUCCGAGGGGCACACCCGUUUGAGUGUCGUGAAUUUCUCAAAUCCCUUUCUCUUUUGAAAGGGUUUUGGACUUGGAGGUUCAAUGCUGGCCUUCACUUUUGAAGGCAAGCUCCUCUCAAAUGUAUUAGCGAGGUCUGUGUGACUCGAUCCUCGACGUGAUAAGACCCUUUUACGUUUCGGAUUUGGUUCCAUCUCGCUUCUAACAGUCUUUAACGGACGACGAUGGUGUUCCGGUCACCGCCCUUUCAUUGGCGGGAGGCUUGACCCACAAACAAAAAAAAACCUUGACCUCAAAUCGGG
RNAcentral lists this ribosomal RNA (716 nucleotides) under uncultured Russulales. Its description in RNAcentral is "eukaryotic LSU rRNA". The stretch from base 292 to 445 matches the Rfam family "5.8S ribosomal RNA". Lineage: Eukaryota; Fungi; Basidiomycota; Agaricomycetes; Agaricales. The record is from RNAcentral.